Molecule: long non-coding RNA, 632 nt
Organism: Plutella xylostella (diamondback moth)
Lineage: Eukaryota; Metazoa; Arthropoda; Insecta; Lepidoptera; Plutellidae
Source: RefSeq, a predicted model, not a curated record
ACCAGUCUACUCCAUACACAAGGACUGGGGUGCAGCGGGGCCAGCACAUGAACAGUGGACGGCGCCGGGGACAUCCUCUGCCAGCGCAAUUACCGCAAACACGGCGCCCGCUGCAACCGCCGCCGCCGCCACUGCGGCGCCAACAGGCUCAAGCGAUGACGACGCGUUACCGCUCGCAGAACGAGCAUGUGCGACGUUAAACCCCCACGAGCAGGUCGACACACCCGCUACAUGCCCACCUUUCCUUGGCAGCGAGCAUAUUAUGCGGGAAGCAUUUAUCAGACAAGGAGUACCGGAAACGGCGUUAGACGUCAUGAUCUCUUCUAUAACAUCAAGUACCAAAGCUCAAUAUACUUCUAGUUGGAAAUUAUGGUGGAAGUACUGUCACGAAAAAGCUUUUGAUUUUUAUAAUGCUAAUGUAAAUAACAUUCUUGAUUUUUUAUCUAACUGUUAUCGUUUAGGAUCAUCUUAUGGGACGCUAAAUUCUCACCGUUCUGCUAUAGCAUUAAUUAACACCAAUAAGGUUUCUGAAGACGAAAGAUUAAAAAGAUUUUUUAGGGGUAUAUUUAAAUUAAGACCUACAUUUCCAAAAUAUAACGUUACUUGGAAUCCUAACAUCGUGCUAGAUUACC